This is a long non-coding RNA of Heterocephalus glaber (naked mole-rat), 6222 nucleotides long. The record is from Ensembl. Lineage: Eukaryota; Metazoa; Chordata; Mammalia; Rodentia; Bathyergidae.
GUUCCUUUUUUGCAACAUGUUUAUUGAGAAGCAACUGCGUUCCUGCCUGCCCAGAGCUCGAAGUGUUAGGGGCACCAGUCUGAUGGAGAUCCGAACAGUGUAGGACCACAGCCCGGCAAAGGGGCACUCAGCGUGGGUUUGGGAUUAAGUGAGAACCACUUACCUUUGCAGCUAGCCUCGAGCCCUGCACCCAGGACCUGAAGCUCAGGGAGGGAGGGAGGCUGUCCAACCGGCAAGGGGCCUGGGCAGAACUUCCUGAGAAGGCUCAAGAAGCCUGGUUCACCACAAUGGUCUGUGGGUGGGUGCCUGCCUUUCCUCAACAUCCUUGGACUGCCAGGUGGCACAUGCCUGUAAACCCAGCACUCAGGAGGCUGAGACAGGAGGACUACCAUGGAGUUCCAGGCCAACCUGGGGUACAUGGUUCAAGGCCAGCCUGAACUACAUAGCAAGACUGUCAACUUCAAAGGAAAAAAAGCCCCCAGACCUCAGUCUAUUUUGUCCACCUGAGAAAUGGGGCUAGGUGCUCUACUAUCUGUGACAACAAGCUGCAGAGAACAAGCAAAAGCACAGCCCUGCCUGGGAGCAGGCAGAACAGCUGCAACUGCCCCACCCACCCUGCCUGCCCGGCCAGGAGUCUGGCAGAGUCCCAGUCCCCUCUGGCCUCAGUGUUUGAUAUGGACCCAGCUCUCAUGGUGAUGGUGAGGCUGAAUCUGUAGCUAAAAAUACCCAGGAGCCCAGCCAGCUGCUCAGUGCUUCCUUGGAGGCCUCGUGGCUGGCACAGGAGCCAGACACACCUGCCCUCCCCAGGCUGCUUCCAAGUGGCAAGGUGUCCCGGGACCCUCACCACCCUCUUGCUCACAAUGGGGUCCUGGAGACAGCGAGCUGGUUCCUGCCACAAGAUCUGCUGGGCCCCAGGAAGGUCGGGGAGAUACCAGGUGGCUUUUGUGGGGCGAGCUCAUGUGUGAUUACCCUGCCACAGGGAGGCCAACGGGGACUCUGAGCCUGGAGAGAAAUGGGCAAAGUCCAGCUACCACAAGCCAGGUGGGGGCUGAUGACGCCCACUUCCGGGGCGUUGGAAACCAUAAAUCAAUUAUUUAACACCCGGCUGGUGAGAGAUAAAAACCCCAGGCCCAGGAAGGAGCCUGGACACCCAAGGGCCCGGAGGGAGGAAAUGGCGACCAGGCCACUUAUCUGCCAAGGUACCUGGCACCUGGCCGCAGGUCUCUGCAAGCCCCAGCGGCCACCAGCACUGGAGGGCAGUGACUUUCCACAGCACAAAGCACUGCCCGCACCCAGCCGCUCGCCACCUGCGGUCACAGGUACUGGGGCUGACGCAGAAGUGGAAGCCAGGAGUUCGGGCAACAAGGCAGGAUCCUAUCUUUUCAACACUUUGGAACGGCUCACAAGGUUACACCCAGUUCUCUGCUCCAGUCCCGCGGGCAGGGGUUGCUGGGGGGUCACAGGCAGCUGGAGAACGCACAGGGUAGGUGACUCCACAACGUUUGGACGCCUCUCUCCUUGGUCCGAGCAGCGGCAGCCAUCUCCACCCCCAGGGUCCUAAAUAAAGGUCAGAUUCCACGCUCAGGCUCCCACUGGAGAUGCCCGGAAGGGGCGGGGACACAGGCGGCUCUUAGUAAGGCCGCGCAGGCCACCCCCCAGGCCAGUCGGCCGCCCUUCCGCCGGCGUGGCCCUCUCUCUGCAGGCCACAGCAGCCCCGCCCCAGGAUCGGGGUGGCGGUGUACGCCCCCGCUCGGGGGGCGGAGGAGGAGGAACAGAAGGACAGAGCGCCCCGCCCUACCGGGCUCCAGGACGCCGGGGAUGCUGGGGGAGGGGACGCGACGGUCACGGGGUCGGAAGCAGGUACGAGGCUUCCAGUAGGGCCCGGACGCCUCUCCUUUCCCAAGACCCCGAUUCACACCCAGAGCCCAGUGCGGCGCUCAACCGCUCGCUCUGGUCCGUCCCAGGGCCUCGCAGAUUUCGCUGGGAGAGGAAGACAAACCAAUCUGAGCCGAGAGCGCGCGCGGCGGGAGGUGAAGACCCCUCGGGGCUCCGUCCGGAGCAGCGGAGCCCCAGGCGGUCCGGGGAGUUCGGUGAAGUCAAACCGGGAAGGGGAAGCGGAGGUUCCAGGGCCUCAGUAAUAGGACCUGGCUCGCUCUCCUCCCUCCCAGGGCUGGGAGAAGCGGGAUGAGCCCUUUCUUUAGCAGAGGACAUUGGUCACUGAAGACCCAGCUGAGAGCCAACGACAGCACGCAGGCUACUUCCAACCCCGCAGCUCCGGGGCCGGGGUGCCAGCAGACGGCGGGCCCAGGGCCAGGGGAGCCCAAAAUAACCCAGACAGCUUCGGCCGGAAGGUGCCACGAGCCCGGGCUCCGGGUGAAGACACCUGGAGCUUGGGUGCUAGUGGUGGCCUCGCGUGGCUGAUCCCAAAUCAGGCCUCGGCCUCCAGCGAGACUCUAACAACAGGGAAGGAGGAGGAGCCGAGCAGCCGACUGACAGCCCCUCCCCUGCCCGAGGCCGGGCCACGUGCUGGGGGGUGGGGUGGGCGGGGAUCCGGAGACGGGGGGGGGCCUCCCCGCGCUGCCACUCCCCGCACCCGGAGCUCACGAAGGCCCAGUGGUGCGGGCCGCUUGGAGGCUGGCCGGUAAUCGCGCUUAAUCCUCCCACCACCCUCUCGGCAAGCCUCGCCACGGCCACUCUCCGGCAGAGACACCCGCCCAAGGUCACCGGCGUCCACAUUCCAACCCACGGCAGCCUGGCCCAGGUGCCCCUCGGUUGAGCACGCAGGUGCCUGCAACAAAGCCUGCCCGGCUCCCCCAGGCCACAGCUCGGCGGUCAUGCUGGUUUGGGGGGGCAGGGCGGCAGCGAGAUCGGCGCCACCUGGACCCAAAUGGCUCGGUCAAAGUAAUCGCAAACUAGGGCUCACGUGGGGACAGGGCGUAGAGAUCAAGGGCCACGCCAUCUCCAGCUGCGGAGCUUCUUGGACACGAGGAGGGGGCGAAUUACGCGAGGUCGGCUUGUGUAAGAACAAGAGCCGCACUGAGCAGGAAGCCACUGCUAUGUGCCCAGCGCCUACCUCCCAGCCCAGAGGAGCUCAGAACACAACACGGGACCUUGUUAGAAAUCCAAGUUCUCAGGUUCCACCUGCUGAAUCGAGAACUCGGGGCCAGGGGCCCUUUGCAAGAGGUGGAUUCUGAUACCGGCUCGAGACAGACUAGCCACCCCAGCUCCAUUUUGUAGAUGGGGAAGCCGGGGCUCACGAGACCCAGCAGCUUAAGCAAGGUCACAGCUGGUCAGAGGCAGCUGAGGUUUCACAGGGAAACCAGGCCACAUGCGCUUGCUCAUUUAGGGAAGCAGGAGGAAACUGGGAAUCCCGGGACAGGGAGGACAGUCAAGGAAACCUCUUUGUCCAGGAAAGCUGGCCCAGAUCUCUGGUUCUCGUGUUCUUUGCCUCUCUAGCACCCGGACAUAAGAGGGUGGUUGCUCUACAGUCACCCUAAAAUCCCCCACGGGGGCUGGAAGGCAGGGCAGCAGCACCUGGGCUUCCAGGCAGUGGCCUGUGCCUUUCAGAAGGCACCCAGAGCCAGCCCCCCCCGCCAAAAAACCCCGAUACUUGUUAGCCUGGCCUCUAGUAAGCAGCUAAAUUCGGCAGAGAAUUGCCCGCCCCAAAUGCCUGACAACAGAAGCUGGCAGGCGGAGCUGAAGUGCCCCAGCAGGCCGCCCAUUUCACACUCAGCCGCCACAUCUGUGUGGGGGAGGGGCUGCAGAACCAGCCCGGCAGGUGGGGGACACCCGCCCUCCCCUGGGCUGCAGGCCAGAGCUCCUCAGUCUCCCUCACAGCCAGGCACAGGGCUGUCACCUACCUUUGACGGGAGGAUUGUCAAACUAGGCCUGCUCCUGCUGUCCAAGGGAAGGAAGGGUUGUCCACUCCGCGGGUAACCGGUUGUUGCCCCUUCUCCAGCCAAGAACCUGGGGAAAGAAUGUGGAAGGCCUGUCAGGGCAGCCCCCAGCUUGUGGGUCAGAGACUGUGACUGUCCAAAUGCAAACCUGUCGGUAUCCUAGACAGACUCGCCAACGCCACCCCCCUUGCACAGCUGCCAAGGCGGCCCUCAGGGUGGAAUGGAUUGGGGUGGGGGGGUGAGCCACGAAGAGUUCAGCCCAGGCGAGGAGUGGCGGGAGGCGACUCAUCUGCAUUUCCAAAGGCCCGCCCCGUCAGCAUCCCCUCCCCCAAGUUGGGUUGGCAAAAAGGCGGCUUCGCUGAGGACUGUUUACUGCUCUGGAUAUAGCAAUGGUGUGACCGUCAUUAAGAGACAAAAGGCGAAAACACACAGUCAAAUCAAACAAAAGGCAAAAGGCGCACCAGCCAUCCCAACCACCAUAGAAAAUACGACCGAGUUAUCGUUGGUGUUUGGCUUGAACCAGCUAGGACUUGUUUUCCAGCUUUAAUCUAGUUUCCUGUGACGGUUUUCGUCUUUCUACACAAAGAGAAGGUCUUCCUUUUUCUAACCAUCCCCCCUCCACCACCACCAAGACGAGAAAAACAGAGCUGUUUUUCUUCAAAUAGAUCGAUUUUCAAAGAGUGUAAACGUUACUGGGAAGGCUGACUAGCAUUUAUUGCUAUAAACAUUUUCAAAAGCUUGAAGCUAAAACCUUAAGCUUUAUAUAAGCAAAAUCGUCUAAAAAGCAUUUUCACUGGCUCAUAUUAGACAAGAGACAAAGACAGACAUGCAGAUGAAGGUUCAGAAAAUUAAGGACAGCUCAGCCAACAUUAACAAGAAAACUGCACUGCAUAAGGACAGAAUGGAUUGGGUACUUACAAUGUAAAAGGUUUUUAGAAACUUAAGAGUAACGACUGCUCACACAUUUUUUUGUUGCUGCCAUUUCGCUAGUCCUAAAACUAUACAUUUAAAACAUUACCUUGUUAAAAAGAGAGGAGUUAUUAAGAUGGCCAGGUUUAAGUGUUUAAUAGAGGAAACUAUAUUUAAAAAUUUAUUGUUCAGUCAAGAGAAUACAGAUUAAGACAGCGCCAAGCUCCCCCCACCCACCCAAGAAAAAAAAGAGGAAAAAAAUUAAAUGUCAUUUACUUAGGUUUUUUGGAAUUCAAAACUGUUAACUGCUGACAUUAAUGGUGUGCUAUGACCUAGUUAUACAAGACAAAGAUGGAUUCCAAGUCAUAAGGAAAAAUCCAGAUCUUUUUAAAAGGUCUUCUUCAUUCUUCCAAUUUUGAGUCCUUUAGCCUGUUGACAAAUGUUAAACAACACAUGCAAGCGUCCUGAACUGGAUGGUGGAGUCAAAGGAAAAACAUUCCCCACUCGCAACAAAGGAAAAACCCACUUGGCCAUUUAAUUCCAUUGCAGAAAAAUGGCUCCCCUCAUCUGUUGGCCUCUCCUUGGUGUCUGAUGAAGGAUGUUUUGAGAUCAGCGUCUAAUAACUCAAACCCUAUAGAAGCCGAGCGCUGAUUGGCUGCCGCGCCCUGCCGCUCAGCUCCAGCCAAUUACCUACCCACGGCCAAAUUACAAACCCCGAAAAGAGCCCCAAUAUGAAAUACACCGCCACGAAGCCCCAGUCAGGCGGCUCCUUCGCCUUGGCCGCCCGAGAAGAGAGGCAGAGGGGGCUGUGAACGCGUCCUCGCCAAGCCCGGGAGCCUCGGAGUUGAACUCACAAGAUGGAAGCCGCGCGCUGAUUGGCCGCCGCCACUCCCGGACCUUUAAUAAAGAAAGGGGAAGGGAAAGAAAUGCAAAAAAGGGGGGGACUCUGUCGCUGGUGGCUGGAGGAAAGAGGUGGGGUGGUGGUGGAGAAGAGAAGCAUGUGUUCAGGACAAUUACAGGGCUGUUCCUCUUCAAAAAUAAAAACAGAAAGAAAGAAAAAGCUUCCAUCACCCAGUUCCAGGCGAGGGCUGCAACCUUCCCAGGCAUGCGAAUGCUAAUACGGUUCAAAUCCUGUUUUCCCCUCCCCAGCUCGGCGCCGGGGGGAGGGGGUCGCCGGCCGGAGAGGAAGCCAGAGAGCAGAAACCUCGAUUGCAACUCCUCCUGGGUCGACGUCUGUCCACCCCCCCAUCGCGGGUCCCAGCGUCCAAACACACAUAAUCGCCCCCCUAGAAGCCCAGCCCUCUCCCUCGAGUCCCGCGCGCCCACCUCCGGGCUCAGCAGUUUGCAAACACUUGGGGAGACCCGGGGCGCACGCCGAGGCGGCCGCCGCUCGAGGGGUCGCCCCAGCCAGCCGCGG